CCCAGUCGACUUCUCUGUGCGAGGUCCAAGGGUCAGUGUCAGUGUAAGCGAUGAGAGUGGAGAAUGUGAGAGUCCUAAAUGUGGGCCUGCAGUAAAGGGAGAUGUGUUCCCAUCAUUCCAUGAGAAACUCUGAAGGAAGAUUCCUUGGGAGCACUGGCACACUUGGAGAUACUGUGCUAUUGGAGGGAAGAUUAUAUUGAAUGGAGUGUUCCUAAUGUCUGUAGUGAUGGAAUUCCAGACACACAAGUUAG
This 251-nucleotide long non-coding RNA is filed under the name Homo sapiens (human). RNAcentral describes it as "HSALNT0113135". The record is from RNAcentral. Lineage: Eukaryota; Metazoa; Chordata; Mammalia; Primates; Hominidae.